This 497-nucleotide ribosomal RNA is filed under the name uncultured bacterium. RNAcentral's name for it is "partial 16S ribosomal RNA". It matches the Rfam family "Bacterial small subunit ribosomal RNA", at positions 28 to 507 of the family's 1533-position model. The record is from RNAcentral.
GAUGAACGCUGGCGGCGUGCCUAAUACAUGCAAGUCGAGCGAACAGAUAAGGAGCUUGCUCCUUUGACGUUAGCGGCGGACGGGUGAGUAACACGUGGGUAACCUACCUAUAAGACUGGGAUAACUUCGGGAAACCGGAGCUAAUACCGGAUAAUAUUUCGAACCGCAUGGUUCGAUAGUGAAAGAUGGUUUUGCUAUCACUUAUAGAUGGACCCGCGCCGUAUUAGCUAGUUGGUAAGGUAACGGCUUACCAAGGCGACGAUACGUAGCCGACCUGAGAGGGUGAUCGGCCACACUGGAACUGAGACACGGUCCAGACUCCUACGGGAGGCAGCAGCAGGGAAUCUUCCGCAAUGGGCGAAAGCCUGACGGGGCAACGCCGCGUGAGUGAUGAAGGUCUUCGGAUCGUAAAACUCUGUUAUUAGGGAAGAACAUACGUGUAAGUAACUGUGCACGUCUUGACGGUACCUAAUCAGAAAGCCACGGCUAACUACGUG